Molecule: ribosomal RNA, 501 nt
Filed under: uncultured bacterium
Lineage: Bacteria
Description: partial 16S ribosomal RNA
Rfam family: Bacterial small subunit ribosomal RNA
Source: RNAcentral
GACGAACGCUGGCGGCGUGCCUAAUACAUGCAAGUCGAGCGGACCGGAUUGGGGCUUGCCUUGAUUCGGUCAGCGGCGGACGGGUGAGUAACACGUGGGCAACCUGCCCGCAAGACCGGGAUAACUCCGGGAAACCGGAGCUAAUACCGGAUAACACCGAAGACCGCAUGGUCUUCGGUUGAAAGGCGGCCUUUGGGCUGUCACUUGCGGAUGGGCCCGCGGCGCAUUAGCUAGUUGGUGAGGUAACGGCUCACCAAGGCGACGAUGCGUAGCCGGCCUGAGAGGGUGACCGGCCACACUGGGACUGAGACACGGCCCAGACUCCUACGGGAGGCAGCAGUAGGGAAUCUUCCGCAAUGGGCGAAAGCCUGACGGAGCGACGCCGCGUGAGCGAAGAAGGCCUUCGGGUCGUAAAGCUCUGUUGUGAGGGACGAAGGAGCGUCGUUCGAAGAGGGCGGCGCGGUGACGGUUCCUCACGAGAAAGCCCCGGCUAACUACGUG